GCGAUCAUAGUUGCAGUGUUCCACCUGGUCUCGUUUCGAUCCCAGUAGUUAAGCCUGUUGUCGUUUUGGUUUUUUGUACUAUGGAUUUUGUCUAUGGGAAUUCCAUUUUGUUGUCAAAC
RNAcentral lists this ribosomal RNA (119 nucleotides) under Candidatus Methanovirga procula. Lineage: Archaea; Methanobacteriati; Methanobacteriota; Methanobacteria; Methanobacteriales; Methanobacteriaceae. The record is from RNAcentral.